GAUCCUGGCUCAGGAUGAACGCUAGCGGCAGGCUUAACACAUGCAAGUCGAGGGGCAACGCGAGUAGCAAUACUUGGCGGCGACCGGCGCAAGGGUGCGUAACGCGUGAGCAACAUGCCCGUAUCAGGGGGAUAAUCCAGGGAAACUUGGUCUAAUACCCCAUAGUAAUUUUGUAAGGCAUCUUAUAAGAUUUAAAGCUUUGGUGGAUACGGAUUGGCUCGCGUGACAUUAGCUGGAUGGUAAGGUAACGGCUUACCAUGGCUAUGAUGUCUAGGGGUUCUGAGAGGAAGGUCCCCCACACUGGAACUGAGACACGGUCCAGACUCCUACGGGAGGCAGCAGUGAGGAAUAUUGGACAAUGGAUGGAAAUCUGAUCCAGCCAUGCCGCGUGAAAAGGAAGAAGGUCCUAUGGAUUGUAAACUUCUUUUGUAUGGGAGCAAUAAGGCCUACGAGUAGGUUGAUGAGAGUACCAUACGAAUAAGCACCGGCUAACUCCGUGCCAGCCGCUGC
This 510-nucleotide ribosomal RNA is filed under the name uncultured bacterium. Its description in RNAcentral is "bacterial SSU rRNA". It matches the Rfam family "Bacterial small subunit ribosomal RNA", at positions 15 to 518 of the family's 1533-position model. The record is from RNAcentral.